Molecule: long non-coding RNA, 323 nt
Organism: Oncorhynchus tshawytscha (Chinook salmon)
Lineage: Eukaryota; Metazoa; Chordata; Actinopteri; Salmoniformes; Salmonidae
Source: Ensembl
GUUGUAUUGAGGUAGUGUUGUAUUGAGGUAGCGUUGUAUUGAGGUAGUGUUGUAUUGAGGUAGCGUUGUAUUGAGGUAGUGUUGUAUUGAGGUAGCGUUGUAUUGAGGUAGUGUAUUGAGGUAGUGUUGUAGUGUUGUAUUGAGGUAGUGUUGUAUUGAGGUAGUGUAUUGAGGUAGUGUUGUAUUGAGGUAGCGUUGUAUUGAUGCAGUGUUGUAUUGAGGUAGUGUUGUAUUGAGGUAGUAUUGAAUUGAGGUGGUGUUGUAUUGAGGUAGUGUUGUAUUGAGGUAGUGUUGUAGUGUUGUAUUGAGGUAGUGUUGUAUUG